Molecule: ribosomal RNA, 200 nt
Filed under: uncultured prokaryote
Description: partial 16S ribosomal RNA
Rfam family: Bacterial small subunit ribosomal RNA
Source: RNAcentral
AUGUCAAAUCAUCAUGCCCCUUAUGUCUUGGGCUACACACGUGCUACAAUGGCCCUUACAGCGUGAAGCGAAGCAGCGAUGCGGAGCGGAUCAAGAAAAAGGGCCCCAGUUCGGAUUGCAGGCUGCAACUCGCCUGCAUGAAGUUGGAAUCGCUAGUAAUCGCGGAUCAGCAUGCCGCGGUGAAUACGUUCCCGGGCCUU